This 253-nucleotide ribosomal RNA is filed under the name uncultured bacterium. Its description in RNAcentral is "partial 16S ribosomal RNA". It matches the Rfam family "Bacterial small subunit ribosomal RNA", at positions 524 to 776 of the family's 1533-position model. The record is from RNAcentral.
GACAGAGGGUGCAAACGUUGUUCGGAAUUACUGGGCGUAAAGCGCGUGUAGGCUGCUUCGAAAGUCGGAUGUGAAAGCCCUGGGCUCAACCUAGGAAGUGCAUUCGAAACUUCGAAGCUUGAGUUCUGGAGAGGAAGGCGGAAUUCCCAGUGUAGCGGUGAAAUGCGUAGAUAUUGGGAGGAACACCAGUGGCGAAGGCGGCUCACUGGACCGGUUCUGACGCUGAUGCGCGAAAGCGUGGGGAGCAAACGGG